Molecule: ribosomal RNA, 497 nt
Filed under: uncultured bacterium
Lineage: Bacteria
Description: partial 16S ribosomal RNA
Rfam family: Bacterial small subunit ribosomal RNA
Source: RNAcentral
GAUGAACGCUGGCGGCGUGCCUAAUACAUGCAAGUCGAGCGAACAGACGAGGAGCUUGCUCCUCUGACGUUAGCGGCGGACGGGUGAGUAACACGUGGAUAACCUACCUAUAAGACUGGGAUAACUUCGGGAAACCGGAGCUAAUACCGGAUAAUAUAUUGAACCGCAUGGUUCAAUAGUGAAAGACGGUUUUGCUGUCACUUAUAGAUUGAUCCGCGCCGCAUUAGCUAGUUGGUAAGGUAACGGCUUACCAAGGCAACGAUGCGUAGCCGACCUGAGAGGGAGAUCGGCCACACGGGAACUGAGACUCGGUCCCGACUCCUACGGGGGGCAGCAGUAGGGAAUCCUCCGCAAUGGGCGAAAGCCUGACGGAGCAACGCCGCGUGAGGGAUGAAGGUCUUCGGAUCGUAAAACUCUGUUAUUAGGGAAGAACAAAUGUGUAAGUAACUAUGCACGUCUUGACGGUACCUAAACAGAAAGCCACGGCUAACUACGUG